RNAcentral lists this long non-coding RNA (2375 nucleotides) under Panax ginseng (ginseng). RNAcentral describes it as "long non-coding RNA (PGIN_LNC017354)". Lineage: Eukaryota; Viridiplantae; Streptophyta; Magnoliopsida; Apiales; Araliaceae. The record is from RNAcentral.
UUUUCUAAAAUUUCAUUCACUUUUGUUCAACUUCAUAACAGAAAAGGCUAGACCUUUCUUUCAUUCUGCUUGGUAUUUUUCUUAUAUAAAUAAAUUAGACCAAUCUAUUCCAAAUUUAAAAAUAAAUAAAUAAAUAAAAUGGAAAAUACAAACAUAAACUUCAUAUACUUCAUUCACUGUGCAUUAUCUUGCAACUCCUGUUAUCCAUGCCGACAACUUGCCAUAUGUGCAAAAAGCAUUAAAUCUCUCCAUAAAUCCAAUCACACAAGUGAAACAUGCCAUUAUUACCGUCUCACGGGAUUUCUACAAUAUAAACAAACAAAAGCAAACAUAAUUUACCUCCAGCAAACAUGAUUUACUAUGACUAAUUUUCGGAUAACUAAGAGAUAUUAGGUAAAACAGAAAAAUGAAUCACACUUUGCUGCUGCUUGAGGAUCUUUAAUGGACUUUAUCAUAUCAACUCUCUUGGUUGUUCAUCACCUGCACACCAGAGAAAUGCAGUUGGAUAAGCUAAUUGACCAAUCAACUCGAGAAAACGUUAAAAGGAUAGAACAUAAAAGGAGGUUUCUAUGAGAAGUUAGACACAACAGAAUGAAUCAUGAGUUAUGAGCAAAUACCACCUAUCAAGUAAAAUGAACAGAAAAAUGAUAAAUAUGGGCUUUGACAUAGCAAGUGAAAUAGUGGACUACUCGAUUCAAAGAUGAUUCAAUUUAAAAUUUCACAUAAAAAAGUGGGAAAAUACCAGAAAAACAAAGAAAACCAACAUCUUACACAAUUUAGCUAUUGUUGAACAUGAUAAAUAACAUAUUAGUGGAAUUUAGAGAUGCUUACAAAGGGAUUAUCAUAGUACCAGCUCAGUGGACUAUAAGCCACCCAUCACACGUUCAUGGUCCUCUCCCAACUAUAUAAAUAUAUAUUAAUAUUUCUAUACAAAAAGAAUGGCAACCAAUGGGUAAUAGAAAGAAAAAAUGAAAAACUUUACUCUUUCCACUUUGACACGACCCUGCGAGAAUGACAACCAAUGGAUAAUAGAAUAUCAUCUGCUCACCAAAUGUAACAUUCUAUUCUUAAGUAAUUCCAACUUCCAAAUAAGAAAAUUUCUUAGACUUAGCCAAGUGACAAUUAAGGAAUUUGAUAUUAAAUUAGUAAAUUGGUCACUAAAACUUGUGACAAAGUGGCCAGUCUUAUGCUAAGCAUAUAAUACAAUGUAGACAUGACAUGCAAUUAACAGAUGCAUCUUCUAUGGAAGAGGUUUACUCAUUACAAAUAGAUAUGUUUCAAAGUGGAAGAAUUUCUACUUCAUGGACUGUGUAGAGAGGGCUAUAAGGCCGUAAAAAAAAAAUUCAAAAAAAGAAGUCUAGUUAUCUUUUCACAGACACAUACCAAAACAAAAAAAGGAAAUCUUUAUGCCAACUACUUUACUAUCUUCUAGGAAGAAUUUAACCAGAGUAGUAAUAUGAGGAAUCUUAUGUAUUUCACACUAAUCCAAAAACAGACACAGAUUAGUUAUCAAUAUAGCCACACAGGAAAGAGAGUAUUCAGGUAUAUCAUACAGCUGAGUUCUCGGGCACUGAUACUUCAUGAAUAUCAACAGAGUUGUCAAACAUUUUCACAACAAAAAGCAUAAUUUAUAUAUAUACAAUCUUUCAAUUAUUACCCAGUAUUUGCAAAUUCAUGGAUGCUCAUUAAAGCUUGAAAAUAAACCUUGUAAAAACGACUUUCUUUAAGUUUAUUAAGAACCUGUAUAGCAAAGGGAGAGUAAUAAUCACACUGUGUCCAUAUCUGAGUCUAUAUCUCUGCUUGUCAGAGUAUAAUAUAAUGCACACUAAGUUGUUCUAUUAACAAAAAAAAAAUCAUAUUCAUUUUUUUGGGUUUGAAAUAUUCCAAAUUAUACAUGUAGAGAGAAAGUCCAACUCUGAAAAGGAGAAAAAAGAGAGACGCGGAUAGAUAAAAUUGCAAGCCCUUACCGAAUCGAACGGAGAUCGCGAUUCUAGGGCUCGGCCUUCAGUCGAUUUCGUAGCAAUCGCGUUUCUAGGGCUUGCCUUGGCUUGGCUUUCUCUCUUGCAGCAAUCGUGAUGUAGGAGGAACUCGUUCACUUCAUUCGAUUUUGCAGGAUUGGAUUUCAAUCGUGAUGGAGGAGGAAGUCGCUUGCUUCUUAGUUUGAGAGCUGAGUGAAGUGAGCGAGGAGAGAGAUAUAACAAAACACGGGUUUUUUUAAAAAAAAUGCUCUUUAAGGGAGUAAUACUCUUUAGCGAGAAUGCUUCUGAACCGGCCGUAUAUAUAUAUAUAUAUAGCUAGCUAGCUAUAUUUUAUUUUGGGCGAAAGGGUAUUAUUGCAGAUUCUUCUUAAUUUCCACCGGCCGGCCGGAGUAUUUA